Molecule: non-coding RNA, 110 nt
Filed under: Lacicoccus alkaliphilus
Lineage: Bacteria; Bacillati; Bacillota; Bacilli; Caryophanales; Salinicoccaceae
Also listed under: 1 other name
Description: Salinicoccus alkaliphilus TPP sequence
Rfam family: TPP riboswitch aptamer (THI element)
About the family: Vitamin B(1) in its active form thiamin pyrophosphate (TPP) is an essential coenzyme that is synthesised by coupling of pyrimidine and thiazole moieties in bacteria. The previously detected thiamin-regulatory element, thi box was extended, resulting in a new, highly conserved RNA secondary structure, the THI element, which is widely distributed in eubacteria and also occurs in some archaea.
Source: RNAcentral
CAAGACCACUGGAAGUGCCUUUUGAAAAAGGCUGAGAUCGAAGUAGUGACUUCGGGAUUCCGGAACCUGAUCCAGAUCAUGCUGGCGUAGGAAAGUGGCGUGGAGAUACA